RNAcentral lists this ribosomal RNA (495 nucleotides) under uncultured bacterium. Its description in RNAcentral is "bacterial SSU rRNA". It matches the Rfam family "Bacterial small subunit ribosomal RNA", at positions 8 to 502 of the family's 1533-position model. The record is from RNAcentral.
AGAGUUUGAUCCUGGCUCAGAUUGAACGCUGGCGGCAGGCCUAACACAUGCAAGUCGAGCGAGAAAGCACUUCGGUGCGAGUACAGCGGCGGACGGGUGAGUAACGCGUAGGAAUCUACCUGGUAGUGGGGGACAACUUGUGGAAACGCAAGCUAAUACCGCAUACGCCCUAUGGGGGAAAGCGGGGGAUCUUCGGACCUCGCGCUAUUGGAUGAGCCUGCGUAAGAUUAGCUAGUUGGUGGGGUAAAAGCUCACCAAGGCGACGAUCUUUAGCUGGUCUGAGAGGAUGAUCAGCCACACUGGAACUGAGACACGGUCCAGACUCCUACGGGAGGCAGCAGUGGGGAAUAUUGCGCAAUGGGCGAAAGCCUGACGCAGCCAUGCCGCGUGUGUGAAGAAGGCCUUAGGGUUGUAAAGCACUUUCAAUUGGGAAGAAAGGUUGUACGUUAAUAGCGUGCAGCUGUGACAUUACCUUUAGAAGAAGCACCGCUAACU